GUAUAUGUAGAUAGAUCUAUGUCGGUUACCCGAAGAUAAUAUGGCAACCAGGUAGAUAGAUAGAUAUAUGUGAAGAUAGAUAUAUAUGAAAUGCACCGUGGGAUACACUGGUGCUUAAAAUUUAGAAAACACCGUGGGAUACACAAGUGUAGUCUGUAUUAUCCAAAAACCUAAAAUUUCAUAGUUAACAUUAAGAUUCUAUGCAGCGAAUUCUGCCAUUUACGGGAAUAUAUUUAUGAUGCUCAAAGUUCAAAAAUAAAAGUCACUUUUCUCAACAGCAAACGAGUUAACAUCAUCAGUCAAAUCUGUAUCACCACUCUCCCGACAAAACCUGAAAAAUAAAUACAAAAGAGCAGUAUCUUGUUCAAUAAAAAGGAGUGGGAGGGCGGGUUUUCAAGUUUACCGCUUACAAAAUUUAAACAUCUUGCUUGCUGCGAUGAAAUUCUAAAAAGGAAUAAAUGACGUCACAGAAUAUAACGUCACUCAUGUCGGGUAAAUCUAAAACAUGAAACGCAAUCCGUGAGUGGCCCCGGCGAUAACUGAAUUUAAGUCUAUUAACUUAAAUUCCAUUAUCUCAGAUGGUGCCAUUUAAAACAAAAUACAUAUAUGGUUUGGCGAUAUCUGGCCACAGCUUUUAUUCAUAAUAUGAUAGAUUCAUAUAAUAUAUAAUAUAUAUACAUGUAGAUAGAUAUGUUGUAGAUAGAUACUAAGAUAUGUUGUAGAUAGAUAUAUAGACCAUAGACCAUGUAUAUGUAGAUAGAUCUAUGGUCGGUUACCCGAAGAUAAUAUGGCAACCAGGUAGAUAGAUAUAUGUGAAGAUAGAUAUAUAUGAAAUGCACCGUGGGAUACACUGGUGCUUAAAAUUUAGAAAACACCGUGGGAUACACAAGUGUAGUCUGUAUUAUCCAAAAACCUAAAAUUUCAUAGUUAACAUUAAGAUUCUAUGCAGCGAAUUCUGCCACAUUGACGGAGGAAAACAGAGACUCUGUCAACCGCCAUAAAAAGGGCGGUUCGCUGCAAAGCUGUGAACCAGAUAUGAGAUAACUUCAGAUAGGUAGAUAUUUUUAUUUAACGUGUACUAUAGAUAUUAAAUAAUCUAGAUAGAUAGAUAGAUAUUAUUUAACGUACAACUUGGUACAUAUAUAGAUAGAUAGAUAUUUUACUGAACGUACAACUUGGUCCAUAUAUAUGAUAAUGUCUAGAUAGAUAAAUAGGUAUUUUUAUUUAACGUACAACUUGGUACAUAUAUAUAUUAAAUAAUCUAGAUAGAUAGAUAGAUAUUAUUUAACGUACAACUUGGUACAUAAUAGAUAAAUAGAUAUUUUACUGAACGUACAACUUGGUCCAUAUAUAUGAUAAUGUCUAGAUAGAUAAAUAGAUAUUUAUUUAACGUACAACUUGGUACAUAUAAUAUUCAAUAAUCUAGAUAGAUAGAUAGAUAUUUUUUAACGUACAACUUGGUACAUAUAUAGAUAGAUAGAUAUUUUACUGAACGUACAACUUGGUCCAUAUAUAUGAUAAUGUCUAGAUAGAUAAAUAGAUAUUUUUUUAAAGUAAACUGGUACAAUGUUAAAUAAUCUAGAUGAAGUUUGUGAACAACUGUUCAAAACAUAUUUACCUACACAGAUAAAAAUACUUACCAAAACUACAGCAAACCAUAAAAUAGUUGAUUGUAUUUGUAUAUCAUAAAAUAUAGUAUAUUAUUGUAUAAUAUCAACCAAUAAUAUAAAGAUGUUUAAGAAUUCAUUUCAUAAGCAGGUUAAGAGUGACAAGUGAAAAACAUCCAGUGAAAAAGUUCUGAUCUGAUCGAAUCAUAAUAUUUUAUGUAGCAACCUGACAGCUUAUUAUAAAGGCAAUAAAUAGUUGUAAAUUUAUAGCAGCACCAGUCCAGUUUGCAUUGGUCUAAAUUGCCACCAUCCUUACUUAAGAAAGAUGAAUUUCACACUCCAUCUGGUCAUGUUCUACAUCUCAUUGGCAAAGACCCACUCUAGAACUACCUGUGUCAAUACCACUACAAGUUUAUUAAAAUUAUGUUGGAUCCUUACAGUUUCAUUAUACAUGUAUAUUCUGAGUUAACGUUUAACAGUGACAAAUAUGCCACCACAAAAAAAACAUUUCCAUGCCUAGACCUAGUCAACCCCAUCUGGAGGAUAUCAGUCUGCUACAAAAACAUACUUACUAUUGAGGAUUCUACUAUUAAAACAUCAAACAUUAAAAAUCUCCUACAAUUCUGUAUGGCAAAUAGCUACAUGGAAUUAUAUGCUACAUAGUAAUAUGAUUACAAUUUAAAGCAUAAUAAAUCAAGACAAAUAAUAAUUCUUCAGGAAAACCCUGUAUUAAGUGUCAGUAUUGGAUCUUCGAACCCAUUUAUUGAUUUUAUAAUCCUUCAAAAUCAAUGAAAGGACAGCUUUAUUACAUUAAAUGACAAGGUGAUUUGAACUUGGAUAUCACAAGGCCUAGAUUAAACAAGGUAAACCUGGUUAAAGUUACCUGUUAGGACAUCCAAAAGUUAUAAAGGAUGACCUGUGUUACACAAAAAACAAAACACAAACAAGUGCUUAACAACAUCUAGAUACCCUCAUAAUUAAAAGCAUAACAAAUCAAAUAGUCCCAGCGUUCAUGCUAAAGUUACUGAAAUUCAACCUGUACUAUAAUUUCCAUAAUAAAUAACAACCAUAAUUUGGAAUCAACUGUUGCCCAGCAACCAGUAGGGCCAAUCAUUUAUGCAAAGAAAAGUUCCAUAUAAAGCACCAGCCUAAAAUAACAAACGGCACCUAAACAUACAGCGUACAAUACUCAUAAAUUGGGCAACUUCUAGAAUCCCCCAGGAUGAAGAUUACAAUACAUUCUAUACUAGUAUAUAUAUAAAUUAAGCUGUUGACACCUAAAUACUAAAGAUUUUUAGCAGUGGAGCAGACUGCAAGACAAAGCUGUAAAUAAUUACUUAGUUUGUUCUAGAUUUGCUAAUAUUACAUGUACAUACAUGUAUAUAUUUAACUGCGACUGACAAUUUAAAAAGUAAAAAAAAAAACAAACUUGUCAAGAUUAAAAGUUGAUUACAAGAUAAAACCAUUGGACCCCUUUUUUCCCUUAAUAUAUAUGUAUAUAUAUAAAAACAAGAGUGCACACACUGAAAUGUCUUGCCUUCUUUACUAAUCCUUGAUACUAUCUUGAUAGGCCUAAAUAUACAGCUUUAUUACAACUGUCAAAUAAACUCAACAUUAACCAAGAAAAGGAAACAUUGAUCAAUCAACCAUGAAAAUGAGGUCAAGGUCAGAUGAACCAUGCCAGGCAGACAUGUACAGCUAACAAUUCUUCAAUACAACAAAUAUAGUUGACUUAUUGCUUAUAAAUAAAGAAAAACAGACCAAAACACACAAACACUUAAAACUUAGCAAUUGACCGUGAAAAUGAGGUCAAAAUCAAAUAAAACCAGCGUAAACCACAUGAGGAUCAUAAAAUAUGUCCAUACACCAAAUAUAGUUGACCUAAUUCACAAGGUAUUAGAAAAAUAGACCAAAACUAAAAAACUUAACUUUGACCACUGAACCAUAAAAAAUAAGGUCAAGGUCAGAUGACACCUGUCAGCUAGACAUGUACACCUUACAAUCAUUCCAUACACCAAUUAUAGUAGACCUAUUGCAUAUAGUAUAAGAAAAACAGACCAAAACACAAAAACUUAACUAUAACCAUUGAACCAUGAAAAUGAGGUCAAGGUCAGAUGACACCUGUCAGCUAGACAUGUACACCUUACAAUCAUUCCAUACACCAAUGAUAGUAGACCUAUUGCAUAUAGUAUAAGAAAAACAGACCAAAACACAAAAACUUAACUAUAACCAUUAAACCAUGAAAAUGAGGUCAAGGUCAGAUGACACCUGUCAGCUAGACAUGUACACCUUACAAUCAUUCCAUACACCAAUUAUAGUAGACUUAUUGCAUAUACAUAUGUAGUAUAAGAAAAACAGACCAAAACACAAAAACUUAACUAUAACCACUGAACCAAGAAAAUGAGGUCAAGGUCAGAUGACACCUGCCAGUUGGACAUGUACACCUUACAGUCCUUCCAUACACUGAAUAUACUAGAUCAUUUGCUUAUAGUAUCUGAGAUAUGGACUUGACCACCAAAACUUAACCUUGUUCACUGAUCCAUGAAAUGAGGUCGAGGUCAUGUGAAAACUGUCUGACAGACACGAGGACCUGCAAGGUACGCACAUACCAAAUAUAGUUAUCCAAUUACUUAUAAUAAGAGAGAAUUUAACAUUACAAAAAAAUCUUUUUUAUUUAUCAGGUUAUUAAACAAGAUAAAUAUUAAUAUUAUAAAUGUUAUAUAAAUCGAUAGCGUCCUCCAUUCAAAAAGUGAUAAAUACCAAACAACAUUUAAAAGUUUCAAAGAGAUAAAUAUAAUUAUAACAAUUAUAUAGAAUGUAACGUCAUAUUUCCAAAAGUUUUUUAUUUAAAACACAUGAUGUGGCAUCCCAUCAUUGUAUGGCCAUAAAAAUUUGUAAACGUAACACAUUCAGCAAUUUUAAGUUUAGAAACUGAGAUAUAAACAACGUUACACAAAUCUUUUCAAUCCUACCCAUAAGAUUAGAAAAAGUUGUCUUAAUCUAUAUAAAUAAGUUUGUUAUAUGUUGGAAUCACAUGUACAUUUUGUACAUGAGUUGGUUUAACUUAAAAGUAAUAUACUGCUUUUAACUAAAAAAUCUGACGAUUACCUGAAAAUUUUUCAACUGAAUCAUACCAAUGCGAAGCUCUAGGGGUUAGCAUAAAUAUCAUCGAUGAUAAUCCAAUGUACAAAUGUAUGUGACCAAAGCAGUUGAGUUAGUGGCGUGAUGAGUCGUGAAUCCAGUCCAGUAUGGUAACCCAUUUGUAAAAAAAAAACUGGUGUGGCCUUGUUGUCCAAGUCUCAGGUCCAACUGUUACAAUCCUUGGCCAUGUUCUGUGGCCGAGCAAGGUCUCUUCUUGAUCUACCCAACAUGUGCUACAACUCAACAAAAAGUAAAUAUUAGUUUCCCCAUGCUACAAUGUACAUAGCAUUGACAUAACAAAACCAAAUGACUGUACAAAGAAACAAUAACAAUUAAAAAUUAUGUAUACUCAUACAUGUGGUUGUGUCAAUAAUAGUUACAAUGAUUUAAAAAUAAUUCAAAAUUAGUAUAUAUACAGAUUUAUAUAAACUAAAAUCCAUAGUCAGUUGAUAGUAACAUAGUGUAAUAUUAGUAUAUAAUUGAGUUAUUAUUGAUUCGUUAUUACAACAAUAAUUCAAGCUGUGGCCUGUUGACAUAUUUGUUGGCUAAAUUCUUGAUCUAACUGAACUAUUCAUACCAUAUCACCGCUUACAAAAUUUAAACAUCUUGCUUGCUGCGAUGAAAUUCUAAAAAGGAAUAAAUGACGUCACAGAAUAUAACGUCACUCAUGUCGGGUAAAUCUAAAACAUGAAACGCAAUCCGUGAGUGGCCCCGGCGAUAACUGAAUUUAAGUCUAUUAACUUAAAUUCCAUUAUUAAAGUUGAUAUAGGCUAAAAAUACCGCAAUCAAACUGUUUGAAAAACUGAAUUGUAUGAUCAAAAUCCGCUUAUUUUAAAAUUUAUAAUUCAGUUAUGAAAUG
This 5607-nucleotide long non-coding RNA is filed under the name Mytilus galloprovincialis (Mediterranean mussel). The record is from RNAcentral. Lineage: Eukaryota; Metazoa; Mollusca; Bivalvia; Mytilida; Mytilidae.